GGGCCCUUAGCUCAGUUGGUUAGAGCAUCCGACUCAUAAUCGGCAGGUCCACGGUUCAAGUCCGUGAGGGCCCACCA
RNAcentral lists this transfer RNA (77 nucleotides) under Thiomicrorhabdus xiamenensis. RNAcentral describes it as "Thiomicrorhabdus sp. G2 tRNA-Ile". It matches the Rfam family "tRNA". From Rfam's summary of the family: Transfer RNA (tRNA) molecules are approximately 80 nucleotides in length. Their secondary structure includes four short double-helical elements and three loops (D, anti-codon, and T loops). RNAcentral also lists the same sequence under 5 other names. The record is from RNAcentral. Lineage: Bacteria; Pseudomonadati; Pseudomonadota; Gammaproteobacteria; Thiotrichales; Piscirickettsiaceae.